RNAcentral lists this long non-coding RNA (2352 nucleotides) under Strongylocentrotus purpuratus (purple sea urchin). RNAcentral's name for it is "echinoidin". The record is from RNAcentral. Lineage: Eukaryota; Metazoa; Echinodermata; Echinoidea; Camarodonta; Strongylocentrotidae.
CUUAGUUUCGUCUUCAAAUGAUCCAAAAGAGGCGGAGCCCUAAUCCCAGUCUCGUAAUGAUUUCCGCGCGUGCAGCUUUCUAUCUAGUUAUUUAUAAACGUAUUUGGAUGGAACACACCACACUCUGAAAAGCGUUUGCAUGGCUAGUGAAUCAGUAAUAUUAAAUAACUAUAUAAGUACGGUGCUUAAUAUUGUGAGUUGAUCUAUAUAGCGCUACGUUUAUUCGUUCAGCUCUCUGCCUUCGCCUAGCCUCUUGGACCCCAGUUCACACAAAACCAACAGAUAGGCCUACAGAGCUUUAGAGAUGGAUCGUCGACAGAAAACCGUGCUGCUCUUUCUGGUAUCAGCCUUCAUUAUGUUCAUGUGCCCCGGCGAGACUCGGGCAAGCUGCUGUUGCCCCACCUUUUGGACUGCCUACAACGGUCAUUGUUACAGACUAUUCAGUGACCGGAAGACUUGGCAUGAAGCAGAGGAAUUUUGCAACCAAUUCUCGGUGCCGUCUCUAGGCCUGGGUGAAACAGCCAGAGAUAGCUUGGGACAUCUCGUAUCCAUCAAUUCUCCAGAUGAACACGAUUUCGUCGCCACUUACUACAAAUCUGCCACGGGUACCUCUCAUGAUUUAUGGCUUGGUUGCCACGACACCACCAAUGAGGGUACGUUCAAGUGGACCGACCGAUCACCGUUCAAUUUCAGCAUGUGGUAUUCCAACCAACCAAGUAACAGUGGUUCGGGUGAAGACUGCGGUGAGAUGACGGUCACGUUCGGCUACGAGUGGAAUGACGACGGAUGUGACGGUACUACAUAUUUCAUGUGCAAGAUUCCAAUUUGGUAGAUAAUUUGAUGUAAGCUAGCGCUAGCUGUGACAGGAUCAUAUCUGUCUACCAUUUUUUCGUUCCUGUCUUUUGUCUGGUAUCAAGUGCAUCUUUCAUUUAAUGCAACAAUUUUUUGCAAUAAUAUCGCUACUAGCCACGAUAUAUCAAAGGUGGCAUGCAUAAUACAUUUUCACUGUAUGUACGGAGUGCAGGGGCAGAGACAAUGUAUUUUUUUAAAUGACCGUUUUUAGAGCGAGGCCGAGUUUGCCCGAAGUCCGAGUUAGCACGGAUUCGUUAUAGGAAUAGUGCAGUGCAUGGGUACUUUACGUGCAAAGGUGUUGACUCUCCUCUAUACAGGGCCUCUAUUUAACGUCCAAAAUAGUGAUGGAUGGAUGGAACGUUUCCACUGCAACAUAGCCUGUGUUUAUGAAACGGGGGGGGGGGGGGGGCACAUAACACAAAACACAAGCUUAAGUCAUCUGCCUGGGUUGGAAUCGAACCCAUGAUCUAUGAUUUGACAGGCAAACGCUUUAUCUACCGAGCCAACUCACCUCCCUACUUUUUAUUUUUGUAUGGGUAAAUUGCUCCAUAAUGAUAAUCCCACUUCAUUCUCGAUCCUACUGUCAUUCAUAUGGAAAAUGAGAGUUUGAGCUUUGAAAUCAUAUUUUCAAUAAUACAAAAUUAAUUUUCAUUUCCUUAAAAAUCAUAAUCAACCAAAUGUAUCAGUGAAUCGCUUAUUUUGGACAAAUGGGAUCCUAUCACUACCACUUCAGAUUAUGUCUUAAUGAAAUAAUGAUAGAAAGUGAGCUUUCCAAUGAUGUAUAUUUUGAUGAAAAAUAAUUUGGAAUUCUUGAGUAAUUGACAAAUAAAAUACAGUUUCCUUUUUCAUUUAGGGACAUCCUGUACUAACCAUGCAUAUCCCAUACUUUUCCCCUCUAUUAUCAAAGUACAUGUAUGCGCAGAUACAUGCAGAGCCUCAAUAUUUGAUAUCUCCAUAGUAAAUGUUAUAGUUGAUGCAUAACGAAAAAGACCAAACCAAACGAAAGGCUGUUAAUACCAACUACAUCUGAAUAAUUGCACUUUAUUAAGACUUGGGAAUAAAUUGAGUUUAAUUUAAAGCAUGCAUACCAUUAUAGAUGAGAAGCAUUUUUCUGUGUCAUUUCUAAAUACAUGUACACCUGUUCUUGAUAAAUAGUGCAUUUAUAUGUGUAUUAUUUUCUGGAUAGAACUAUAGAAAUAUUAGACAUAACAUAUCAUCAUACAUAUUUGAACUAAAAUUAUAACAUAUCUAUAUGUAUAGUAGGUACAGGAUACAUCUGUACAAACAAUCUUUUAUCAAGGUAUAUUAUUUAAUUAUACAUUAACGUACAAGAUUUCACAAGAUAAGAAAGGAAAAGCUGGGGAAAUGGAAGGAGUUUAGAGCCAGAAGAUAUGAACAUGUUCCAAAGUAUAAAUUUCUUACCUAGCAACUGGAAUGAUGUAGAUUAAUUAUGGUGGAUGUCUUGAGCAUUUAAAAAUAAAAACAAAUCUAAUUUCAGAA